UACAGAGGGGGCAAGCGUUGUUCGGAAUUACUGGGCGUAAAGAGCUCGUAGGCGGUUUGUUGCGUCGGCUGUGAAAUCCCGAGGCUCAACCUCGGGUCUGCAGUCGAUACGAGCAAACUAGAGUGUUGCAGGGGAGACUGGAAUUCCUGGUGUAGUGGUGAAAUGCGCAGAUAUCAGGAGGAACACCGGUGGCGAAGGCGGGUCUCUGGGCAACAACUGACGCUGAGGAGCGAAAGCGUGGGGAGCGAACAGG
Molecule: ribosomal RNA, 253 nt
Filed under: uncultured bacterium
Lineage: Bacteria
Description: partial 16S ribosomal RNA
Rfam family: Bacterial small subunit ribosomal RNA
Source: RNAcentral